UACGAAGGGGGCUAGCGUUGUUCGGAAUCACUGGGCGUAAAGGGCGCGUAGGCGGCUUUGUAAGUCGGGGGUGAAAGCCUGUGGCUCAACCACAGAAUUGCCUUCGAUACUGCAUGGCUUGAGACCGGAAGAGGUUAGUGGAACUGCGAGUGUAGAGGUGAAAUUCGUAGAUAUUCGCAAGAACACCAGUGGCGAAGGCGGCUGACUGGUCCGGAUCUGACGCUGAGGCGCGAAAGCGUGGGGAGCAAACAGG
This 253-nucleotide ribosomal RNA is filed under the name uncultured bacterium. RNAcentral's name for it is "partial 16S ribosomal RNA". It matches the Rfam family "Bacterial small subunit ribosomal RNA", at positions 524 to 776 of the family's 1533-position model. The record is from RNAcentral.